RNAcentral lists this non-coding RNA (169 nucleotides) under Lachnospiraceae bacterium MD335. RNAcentral's name for it is "Lachnospiraceae bacterium COE1 Bacterial large subunit ribosomal RNA". It matches the Rfam family "Bacterial large subunit ribosomal RNA", at positions 2285 to 2453 of the family's 2925-position model. Lineage: Bacteria; Bacillati; Bacillota; Clostridia; Lachnospirales; Lachnospiraceae. The record is from Rfam by way of RNAcentral.
GCCUCCGAAAGGGUAUCGGAGGCGCUCAAAGGUUCCCUCAGAAUGGACGGAAACCAUUCGGAGAGCGCAAAGGCAUAAGGGAGCCUGACUGUGACACCGACGGGUGGAGCAGGUACGAAAGUAGGACUUAGUGAUCCGGUGGCAUAAAGUGGGAUUGCCAUCGCUCAAC